Molecule: ribosomal RNA, 862 nt
Filed under: Acetobacter pasteurianus
Lineage: Bacteria; Pseudomonadati; Pseudomonadota; Alphaproteobacteria; Acetobacterales; Acetobacteraceae
Description: bacterial LSU rRNA
Rfam family: Bacterial large subunit ribosomal RNA
Source: RNAcentral
CCCAGUUGCAGCCAUCAUUUAAAGAGUGCGUAAUAGCUCACUGGUCGAGUGACGCUGCGCCGAAAAUGUAUCGGGGCUAAACGAUUCACCGAAGCUGUGGAUUGACAUCUAUGAUGUCAGUGGUAGGAGAGCGUUCUAAGUGCGUUGAAGUCAGACCGGAAGGACUGGUGGAGCGCUUAGAAGUGAGAAUGCCGGUAUGAGUAGCGAAAGACGGGUGAGAAAUCCCGUCCACCGUAUGACUAAGGUUUCCUGAGGAAGGCUCGUCCGCUCAGGGUUAGUCGGGACCUAAGCCGAGGCCGAUAGGCGUAGGCGAUGGACAACAGGUUGAUAUUCCUGUACCACCUCCUCACCGUUUGAGAAAUGGGGGGACGCAGUAGGAUAGGGUAAGCGCGCCGUUGGUUGUGCGCGUCCAAGCAGUAAGGCGUGUGUGUAGGCAAAUCCGCCCCCCUGUAACGUUGAGCUGUGAUGGCGAGUCCUUUUAAGGACGAAGUUCCUGAUUUCACACUGCCAAGAAAAGCCUCUAUCGAGGUGAGAGGUGCCCGUACCGCAAACCGACACAGGUAGUCGAGGAGAGAAUCCUAAGGUGUGCGAGAGAACUCUCGUUAAGGAACUCGGCAAAAUGACCCCGUAACUUCGGGAGAAGGGGUGCUCUUGAGCGUGCAAGCGCAUGAGAGCCGCAGUGAAUAGGCCCAGGCGACUGUUUAGCAAAAACACAGGUCUCUGCAAAACCGUAAGGUGACGUAUAGGGGCUGACGCCUGCCCGGUGCUGGAAGGUUAAGAGGAGUGGUUAGCGCAAGCGAAGCUGCGAAUUGAAGCCCCAGUAAACGGCGGCCGUAACUAUAACGGUCCUAAGGAGCGAAUC